GUGUGCGUGUGUGUGUGCGUGUGUGUGUGUGUGUGUGUGUGUAAGGUGUGGGAUCAGAUUCCUGCAGCAGCUCUUGUUUGUUCUUGGACAUAUUUUGGGAUGAGCUGUUUUAUGCUGCACGCUAUCUGCACAUUUUUCUUCUUCCCACUGCAGAGACACGCCUCGUCAAAGAUCAGAUGUCUGAUCCGAGACGCAGGAAGUGACUUACUGCAGCUUCAUAUCUGAGCCGUGAGACAUUCAAAUGAACCCGUGUUAUGAAGACAGGGAGCUUCUUCUCUGUUGACUGGCAGAGUCAUGAGCUCUGUGUGACCUUUAUUUUGAAGAGAGAAGAAUAAGUGAUGAAGGGUGGAGCAGUUGUUGGUGGAGAGUAACUAAGUAUAUAUACCCAAGUACUGUAAGUACAAACUCGAGGUACUUGUACUGUAUUGUAUGUUACUUUAUAC
Molecule: long non-coding RNA, 443 nt
Organism: Cottoperca gobio
Lineage: Eukaryota; Metazoa; Chordata; Actinopteri; Perciformes; Bovichtidae
Exons: 3
Source: RefSeq, a predicted model, not a curated record